Molecule: non-coding RNA, 92 nt
Organism: Branchiostoma floridae (Florida lancelet)
Lineage: Eukaryota; Metazoa; Chordata; Leptocardii; Amphioxiformes; Branchiostomatidae
Source: Rfam
UAAUGUUUGUGUAUGGAUAGUGUUCAGUACCAGGGACAGGUCAUGUCUGUGUGUGGAUAGUGUUAAGCACCAGGGACAGGUCAUGUUUGUGU